RNAcentral lists this microRNA precursor (102 nucleotides) under Podarcis lilfordi (Lilford's wall lizard). The record is from RNAcentral. Lineage: Eukaryota; Metazoa; Chordata; Lepidosauria; Squamata; Lacertidae.
CCUAGAGCAGGCUUCCUCAACCUCAGCCCUCCAGAUGUUUUUGGCUACAACUCCCAUGAUCCCAACAUCUGGAGGGCUGAGGUUGAGGAAGCCUGGCCUAGA